Molecule: long non-coding RNA, 259 nt
Filed under: Oryza brachyantha (malo sina)
Lineage: Eukaryota; Viridiplantae; Streptophyta; Magnoliopsida; Poales; Poaceae
Description: long non-coding RNA (OBRA_LNC000666)
Source: RNAcentral
AAACUAUGCCCUCCCUGUCAAAAAUACUACAAAAUACGCUUGAAAAUUUGUUUGAAAACUUGCUAAUCAUUGAAAAUAAAAUUGCCCUCCAAAAAGUGUAAAACAAUUCAUAUAUUUUUUUUCAAAAAUCAUAAACAAAGUCAAAAAGACAAACAAAAAAGAAACACAAAAGACUCAUAUGAUAUUUAAAUUUGCGAAUUUAAUUGUAGAAUUUUAAAUAGUGUUAUUUAAAUUACAAAAAAUAAUUUUACAGAAAUUU